This 460-nucleotide ribosomal RNA is filed under the name uncultured bacterium. RNAcentral's name for it is "partial 16S ribosomal RNA". It matches the Rfam family "Bacterial small subunit ribosomal RNA", at positions 338 to 795 of the family's 1533-position model. The record is from RNAcentral.
CCUACGGGAGGCAGCAGUGAGGAAUAUUGGGCAAUGGACGCAAGCCUGAACCAGCGAUGCCGCGUGCCGGAUGACGGCCCUAUGAGUUGAAACCUGCUUUUGUACGAGGGUAAAUCCCGAUUCGUAGAUAGGGUUGAAAGUACGGUACGAAUAAGGAUAGGCUAACUCCGUGCCAGCAGCGGCGGUAAUACGGAGGAUUCUAGCGUUAACCUGAUUUAAUGUGUUUAAAGGGUGCGUAGGCGGUUCGUUAAGUUAGGGGGGAAAUUCCGGGGCUCAACUCCGGCACUGCCUCUGCUACUGUCGGGCUGGAGUGUAGUUGCGGUAGGCGGAAUGUAUGGUGUAGCGGGGAAAUGCAUAGAGAUCAGACAGAACACCGAUGGCGAAGGCAGCUUACCAAACUACGACUGACGUUGAGGCACGAAAGCGUGGGGAGCAAACAGGAUUAGAUACCCCUGUAGUC